AGAGGUAGUAGGUUGCAUAGUUUUAGGGCAGGGAUUUUGCCCACAAGGAGCUAACUAUACGACCUGCUGCCUUUC
RNAcentral lists this microRNA precursor (75 nucleotides) under Callithrix jacchus (white-tufted-ear marmoset). RNAcentral describes it as "let-7d stem-loop (cja-let-7d)". Its record names the gene cja-let-7d. It matches the Rfam family "let-7 microRNA precursor family", at positions 8 to 78 of the family's 84-position model. Rfam says of the family: This family represents the microRNAs (miRNA) let-7 and mir-98. let-7 was identified from a study of developmental timing in C. elegans, and was later shown to be part of a much larger class of non-coding RNAs termed miRNAs. Lineage: Eukaryota; Metazoa; Chordata; Mammalia; Primates; Cebidae. The record is from miRBase by way of RNAcentral.